This 87-nucleotide transfer RNA is filed under the name Chloroflexota bacterium. RNAcentral describes it as "Chloroflexi bacterium tRNA-Leu". It matches the Rfam family "tRNA". Rfam says of the family: Transfer RNA (tRNA) molecules are approximately 80 nucleotides in length. Their secondary structure includes four short double-helical elements and three loops (D, anti-codon, and T loops). Lineage: Bacteria; Bacillati; Chloroflexota. The record is from RNAcentral. RNAcentral also lists the same sequence under 1 other name.
GCCGAGGUGGCGAAACGGCAGACGCGCUGCGUUCAGGGCGCAGUGUCCAUUAUGGACGUGUGGGUUCAAAUCCCUCCCUCGGCACCA